This 17-nucleotide small RNA is filed under the name Arabidopsis thaliana (thale cress). RNAcentral's name for it is "ATSL025420". The record is from RNAcentral. Lineage: Eukaryota; Viridiplantae; Streptophyta; Magnoliopsida; Brassicales; Brassicaceae.
CAGGUGAUGAUGAUAAU